CACGUAGGAGGCGAGCGUUGUCCGGAAUCAUUGGGCGUAAAGAGCGCGCAGGCGGUCGAUCAAGUCGAGUGUGAAAGCCCCCGGCUCAACUGGGGAGGGUCAUUCGAUACUGAUCGACUCGAAGGCAGGAGAGGGUAGUGGAAUUCUCGGUGUAGAGGUGAAAUUCGUAGAUAUCGAGAGGAACACCGGUGGCGAAGGCGGCCUUCUGGACAGUGACUGACGCUGAGACGCGAAAGCGUGGGGAGCAAACAGG
Molecule: ribosomal RNA, 253 nt
Filed under: uncultured bacterium
Lineage: Bacteria
Description: partial 16S ribosomal RNA
Rfam family: Bacterial small subunit ribosomal RNA
Source: RNAcentral